This 506-nucleotide ribosomal RNA is filed under the name uncultured Glomeromycotina. RNAcentral describes it as "SSU rRNA". It matches the Rfam family "Eukaryotic small subunit ribosomal RNA", at positions 569 to 1077 of the family's 1831-position model. Lineage: Eukaryota; Fungi; Glomeromycota. The record is from RNAcentral.
AGCAGCCGCGGUAAUUCCAGCUCCAAUAGCGUAUAUUAAAGUUGUUGCAGUUAAAAAGCUCGUAGUUGAAUUUCGGGAUCGAAUUGUUGGUCGUGCUUCGGUACGCACUGGCAUUAUCGGUUUCUACCUUCUGAAGAACCGCGAUGUCAUUAAUUUGGUGUCGUGGGGAAUCAGGACUGUUACUUUGAAAAAAUUAGAGUGUUUAAAGCAGGCUUACGCUUGAAUACAUUAGCAUGGAAUAAUGAAAUAGGACGUUUGAUUCUAUUUUGUUGGUUUCUAGGAUCGACGUAAUGAUUAAUAGGGAUAGUUGGGGGCAUUAGUAUCCAAUUGUCAGAGGUGAAAUUCUUGGAUUUAUUGAAGACUAACUACUGCGAAAGCAUUUGCCAAGGAUGUUUUCAUUAAUCAAGAACGAAAGUUAGGGGAUCGAAGACGAUCAGAUACCGUCGUAGUCUUAACCAUAAACUAUGCCGACUAGGGAUCGGAUGAUGUUAAUUUUUUAAUGACUC